AGAGUUUGAUCAUGGCUCAGAUUGAACGCUGGCGGUAUGCUUAACACAUGCAAGUCGAACGGUAGCAGGCCUUCGGGCGCUGACGAGUGGCGGACGGGUGAGUAACGCGUAGGAAUCUGCCUCAUAGUGGGGGACAACGUGGGGAAGCUCACGCUAAUACCGCAUACGCCCUACGGGGGAAAGCGGGGGAUCUUCGGACCUCGCGCUAUGAGAUGAGCCUGCGUUAGAUUAGCUGGUUGGUGGGGUAAAGGCCUACCAAGGCGACGAUCUAUAGCUGGUCUGAGAGGACGAUCAGCCACACUGGGACUGAGACACGGCCCAGACUCCUACGGGAGGCAGCAGUGGGGAAUAUUGGACAAUGGGCGCAAGCCUGAUCCAGCAAUACCGCGUGUGUGAAGAAGGCCCUAGGGUUGUAAAGCACUUUCAAUGGGGAGGAAAACCUGUCGGUCAAUACCCGGCAGCUUGACAUUACCUAUAGAAGAAGCACCGGCUAACUCCGUGCCAGCAGCCGCGGUAAUACGGAGGGUGCGAGCGUUAAUCGGAAUUACUGGGCGUAAAGCGUGCGUAGGCGGUUAAUUAAGUCAGAUGUGAAAGCCCCGGGCUUAACCUGGGAACGGCAUUUGAUACUGGCUAACUAGAGUUUAAUAGAGGGGAGUGGAAUUUCAGGUGUAGCGGUGAAAUGCGUAGAUAUCUGAAGGAACACCAGUGGCGAAGGCGACUCCCUGGAUUAAAACUGACGCUGAGGUACGAAAGCGUGGGUAGCAAACAGGAUUAGAUACCCUAGUAGUCC
RNAcentral lists this ribosomal RNA (790 nucleotides) under uncultured bacterium. Its description in RNAcentral is "bacterial SSU rRNA". It matches the Rfam family "Bacterial small subunit ribosomal RNA", at positions 8 to 796 of the family's 1533-position model. The record is from RNAcentral.